Molecule: ribosomal RNA, 208 nt
Filed under: Morganella morganii
Lineage: Bacteria; Pseudomonadati; Pseudomonadota; Gammaproteobacteria; Enterobacterales; Morganellaceae
Description: partial 16S ribosomal RNA
Rfam family: Bacterial small subunit ribosomal RNA
Source: RNAcentral
UAAUUGAAGAGUUUGAUCAUGGCUCAGAUUGAACGCUGGCGGCAGGCCUAACACAUGCAAGUCGGGCGGUAACAGGGAGAAGCUUGCUUCUCCGCUGACGAGCGGCGGACGGGUGAGUAAUGUAUGGGGAUCUGCCUGAUGGCGGGGGAUAACUACUGGAAACGGUAGCUAAUACCGCAUAAUGUCUGCGGACCAAAGCGGGGGACCU